Molecule: non-coding RNA, 914 nt
Organism: Peromyscus maniculatus bairdii (prairie deer mouse)
Lineage: Eukaryota; Metazoa; Chordata; Mammalia; Rodentia; Cricetidae
Source: RefSeq, a predicted model, not a curated record
CUGGCAGGUGACUGCACUGCCUAGUCCCACCUCACAGCCCGGACGUAAACAGCCCUUCGCUUGGGACAGAGCCGGGUAGCAGACGCUGGACCUGGGCAAGAGCGCACCACCCCAGGCCCAGGCCCAGAUCCGGCCGGCUCGGUCCCGCCCUCAAGCGAGAUUAGGGUGGAGUAGAUCAGGCGACAGCUCCCGGAGGGUUCGGCCAGCGUCUCUGAUCUGAUCUCUCGCUCCAGUGCUUCAGCUGCAGAGCCACCCCCAACAACGUGUGGCACGGAGCCUGCGACCAGUGUCCGCCGCCAGUGUCCCCCUUGAAAUGGCUGGGAAGACGGGGCUGCUUGUCCUCAGGCGAUCACAGCAGCCGCGGCUAUGCGCCUUUCUUCCCCCAGCGUUCUCGAGCCUAACCUGCCGGUUCAGGGCUACAGGGUCAGACAUGCCAACUGUCCAUCAUCACAUCCAAUUUGCCUGCUCUUCCAGUGAAGGGUGGAAGGAAGGGAGGCCUUUGGGGAAGUGGAGAAGCAGACAAAGCAGAGCUGGCAUCCAUCUUAAGCAGGCUUCACAAAGAAAAGAAAGAAAGAUCCACCAGGUCGACGCUAGAGAGAUGGCUCAGCAGUUAAGAGCACUGGCUGUUCUUCCAGAAGUCCUGAGUUCAAUUCCCAGCAACCACAUGAUGGCUCACAACCAUCUAUAGUGGGAUCUAAUGCCCUCUUCUGGCAUAAAGUUGUACACGCAGAUAGAGCCCCAUUUAUAUGAAAUAAGUAAGUAAACAAACAAAUAAAUCUUAAAAAAAUCUGCCAGGUCAGCCCAGAGUGGCAGUGAUGAAGGCAUGGGGGGGGGGUCAGUUAUGGGGGUCAGUUUGCUGUUAACUACAGGGAGUUCAUUGUUCCAUGGGGCUAUUGACUCUGAUGAUCCGGGAG